AAAACUGAGACUCUCUGGGACCCAGAGGGACUAGAAAAAUAUACCCUGUAAAGAGAGCUAACUUUAGACUCAGGAACCUGGCUCCAUUUCAGGCCCCAGAGUUGAGUCUUCUGUGAUCCCAGUAAGGAAGAAGAAUGGAGAAACUCCUGGGAGUGUCUUUGGUGAUUCUAUGGCUUCAACUGGCCAGAGUCAACAGCCAAAAAGUAGAACAGAAUCUUCAGGCCCUGAGCAUCCGGGAGGGUGAAAAUGUCACCAUGAACUGCAGUUAUGAAACUACUAUAACCAAUUUACAGUGGUAUAGACAAGAUGCAGGUAGAGGCCUUGCUCUACUGAUUUUAAUACGUUCACAUGAGAAACUCAAACCUGGUGGAAGACUACAAGUCACGCUUGACUCCUCCAGCAAAAGCAGCUCCCUGUCCAUCACGGCUUCCCGGGCUGCAGACACUGCUACUUACUUCUGUGCUGUGGAGGCACAGUGUUCACCAGGCACCUGCAGCCCCUACACAAACUCUGCCAGAGCUGCCUCUUAG
Molecule: non-coding RNA, 530 nt
Organism: Equus caballus (horse)
Lineage: Eukaryota; Metazoa; Chordata; Mammalia; Perissodactyla; Equidae
Source: the annotation of a RefSeq genome assembly